Molecule: long non-coding RNA, 1251 nt
Organism: Panicum virgatum (switchgrass)
Lineage: Eukaryota; Viridiplantae; Streptophyta; Magnoliopsida; Poales; Poaceae
Exons: 2
Source: RefSeq, a predicted model, not a curated record
ACGAGCCCCCUCAACCUUUUCCCCAACUUCCCCCUCGCCGCCGGGGCCGAACCUCGCCGGAAAACGGCCGCCCGAACCUCCCCUGUACUGUCCCGUCCGCCAAGGACCCAUGCUGAGAAGAAAUAGAAGUUCAGGGGCCUAGAUGCAAAAGUACGAUAGAUGAACCACGUGAAGGACGUGAUAUUGGAACCGAACACGAAGACGAUGUUUGGUGGACAUAUCCAGAAGAGGCAAAGAACCAGGAGUACAUGCUUGGACCGGAAUACUCGUCAAGCAAGUGUCAUCUAACUAACACUGACUUAGUGUUAAUCCCAGGCAAGCCCCGGUGCAUGUCCUAUUAUUUUAAAUUAUGCUUCACUAUAUAUAUGUUUUAUCUAUUACUUGUGCAUUACGUAUUAGGAAUUGAUUGGAACCCUCGCUGCAUGAUCCUUAGGUUUCCCCGAAUUUUUACUAGUAUGUCUAGGUCGAUAGUGGUGCCAGGCUAAAAGAGUCCGGUAAAAGUCGGGUGACUUCGUGUCACUCGCGAGACAUAGGAAACUUUAGAAGCCGAGUAAUUGCCGGUUACUCGCGAGAUACAUUAUUAUCUUUAUACUUCAGUAUUUGUGAAAUGGAUUGUAUUGGAUAUGGAGAUGUGAGACCGGGCGGGAAUGAUGGAUAGGUAUGGCAGCAGGACAGGGUUUCUGUGUGUCUUAGUCCCGUCCGUGUCGAUUAAGGACCGGUCGUUGUGGCAGUGCUGAUCGGGGAUUGAAUUGUACUAACCGCAUGCCGGAAGUAGGAGGUAGUCGAAACCGGUAAGCCGAGUACUGCCUUGCUUCGAAAGUACAGGAACCCGCACCCAACUCCUGGGGCGAGUCGAGUAGUCGCGGAGAAUUGGGUUGCAUAUGUUUACUUUUGGUGGUCUCACGUUGAGCUCGGCUGACCAUAUGUCGUUGGGCUGGUUCCUGUAGUUCGAGGCGGGGAGGGGAAUGGUUGGCAUGUAUAGUCCGACGGGGCCAAUACGUGCCGUGUUGGUUAGGUCCACCUUGCAAGGUUAAAUCGGAUCGAUUCGCCGUGUCUCGCGGUUAUGAGGGCCUUGGUCUCUUUGUCACACCGUAGCGAAUGAGCUAGAGUUUUAGAGAUAUAAAAAUGGAUAUAAAUUCUUAAUCUUAUUUGGAUGCUCCACCUGUGUGUGUAGACAGGCAAACUUUAGUGUGAGUCUAGCUAUAUAAAAUAUGUGGCUAAAAUGUUGAAAGUAAGGAUACACUUCUAGUG